GGAUUCAGAAGCAGGAAGUACUGGUGGUGAUGAAAGCAUAUCAGAAGCCAUAGCCAUGCUUGGGAGACAGUUCAACAAGUUCGUAAAGAAGAUUGAUCAAAAAGGUAGACCAAAUGUCAAGAACAUCUCGUCUGACAUCAGGAAAAGAUCAACUUCUGAAGAAAGGUUCAACCAAGGCAAGGGAAUCCAGUGUCAUGGAUGUGAAGGUUUUG
RNAcentral lists this long non-coding RNA (212 nucleotides) under Lathyrus oleraceus (garden pea). RNAcentral describes it as "Pisum sativum (pea) long non-coding RNA (PSAT_LNC028552)". Lineage: Eukaryota; Viridiplantae; Streptophyta; Magnoliopsida; Fabales; Fabaceae. The record is from RNAcentral.